This 110-nucleotide Y RNA is filed under the name Prolemur simus (greater bamboo lemur). RNAcentral's name for it is "Y RNA (ENSPSMG00000020344.1)". It matches the Rfam family "Y RNA". Rfam says of the family: Y RNAs are components of the Ro ribonucleoprotein particle (Ro RNP), in association with Ro60 and La proteins. The Y RNAs and Ro60 and La proteins are well conserved, but the function of the Ro RNP is not known. In humans the RNA component can be one of four small RNAs -- hY1, hY3, hY4 and hY5. Lineage: Eukaryota; Metazoa; Chordata; Mammalia; Primates; Lemuridae. The record is from Rfam by way of RNAcentral.
GGCUGGUCUGAAGGUAGUGAGUUAUCUCGAUUGUUCACAGUCAGUUACAGAUUGAACUCUUUGUUCUACUCUUUUCCUCCCUUCUCACUACUGGACUUAACAAGUCUUUU